This 468-nucleotide ribosomal RNA is filed under the name uncultured bacterium. RNAcentral's name for it is "partial 16S ribosomal RNA". It matches the Rfam family "Bacterial small subunit ribosomal RNA", at positions 28 to 507 of the family's 1533-position model. The record is from RNAcentral.
GACGAACGCUGGCGGCGUGCUUAACACAUGCAAGUCGAACAGAAAGGCCCUGCUUUUGUGGGGUGCUCGAGUGGCGAACGGGUGAGUAACACGUGAGUAACCUGCCCUUGACUUUGGGAUAACUUCAGGAAACUGGGGCUAAUACCGGAUAGGAGCUCCUGCUGCAUGGUGGGGGUUGGAAAGUUUCGGCGGUUGGGGAUGGACUCGCGGCUUAUCAGCUUGUUGGUGGGGUAGUGGCUUACCAAGGCUUUGACGGGUAGCCGGCCUGAGAGGGUGACCGGCCACAUUGGGACUGAGAUACGGCCCAGACUCCUGCGGGAGGCAGCAGUGGGGAAUAUUGCACAAUGGGCGGAAGCCUGAUGCAGCAACGCCGCGUGCGGGAUGACGGCCUUCGGGUUGUAAACCGCUUUCGCCUGUGACGAAGCGUGAGUGACGGUAAUGGGUAAAGAAGCACCGGCUAACUACGUG